RNAcentral lists this ribosomal RNA (468 nucleotides) under uncultured bacterium. Its description in RNAcentral is "partial 16S ribosomal RNA". It matches the Rfam family "Bacterial small subunit ribosomal RNA", at positions 28 to 507 of the family's 1533-position model. The record is from RNAcentral.
GACGAACGCUGGCGGCGUGCUUAACACAUGCAAGUCGAACGGAAGGGCCCUGCUUUUGUGGGGUGCUCGAGUCGCGAACGGGUGAGUAACACGUGAGUAACCUGCCCUUGACUUUGGGAUAACUUCAGGAAACUGGGGCUAAUACCGGAUAGGAGCUCCUGCUGCAUGGUGGGGGUUGGAAAGUUUCGGCGGUUGGGGAUGGACUCGCGGCUUAUCAGCUUGUUGGUGGGGUAGUGGCUUACCAAGGCUUUGACGGGUAGCCGGCCUGAGAGGGUGACCGGCCACAUUGGGACUGAGAUACGGCCCAGACUCCUACGGGAGGCAGCAGUGGGGAAUAUUGCACAAUGGGCGGAAGCCUGAUGCAGCAACGCCGCGUGCGGGAUGACGGCCUUCGGGUUGUAAACCGCUUUCGCCUGUGACGAAGCGUGAGUGACGGUAAUGGGUAAAGAAGCACCGGCUAACUACGUG